GACGAGCGCUGGCGGCGCGCCUAACACAUGCAAGUCGAACGAGCGAGAGAGAGCUUGCUUUCUCGAGCGAGUGGCGAACGGGUGAGUAACGCGUGAGGAACCUGCCUCAAAGAGGGGGACAACAGUUGGAAACGACUGCUAAUACCGCAUAAGCCCACAGGUCGGCAUCGACCAGAGGGAAAAGGAGCAAUCCGCUCUGAGAUGGCCUCGCGUCUGAUUAGCUAGUUGGCGGGGUAACGGCCCAUCAAGGCGACGAUCAGUAGCCGGACUGAGAGGUUGGCCGGCCACAUUGGGACUGAGACACGGCCCAG
Molecule: ribosomal RNA, 311 nt
Filed under: uncultured bacterium
Lineage: Bacteria
Description: bacterial SSU rRNA
Rfam family: Bacterial small subunit ribosomal RNA
Source: RNAcentral